This 526-nucleotide ribosomal RNA is filed under the name uncultured Neisseria sp. Its description in RNAcentral is "bacterial SSU rRNA". It matches the Rfam family "Bacterial small subunit ribosomal RNA", at positions 46 to 561 of the family's 1533-position model. Lineage: Bacteria; Pseudomonadati; Pseudomonadota; Betaproteobacteria; Neisseriales; Neisseriaceae. The record is from RNAcentral.
GCUUUACACAUGCAAGUCGGACGGCAGCGGGGUAGUGCUUGCACUACUGCCGGCGAGUGGCGAACGGGUGAGUAAUAUAUUGGAACGUACCGAGUAAUGGGGGAUAACCAAUCGAAAGAUUGGCUAAUACCGCAUACGCUCUGAGGAGGAAAGCAGGGGACCUUCGGGCCUUGCGUUAUUCGAGCGGCCAAUAUCUGAUUAGCUAGUUGGUGGGGUAAAGGCCUACCAAGGCGACGAUCAGUAGCGGGUCUGAGAGGAUGAUCCGCCACACUGGGACUGAGACACGGCCCAGACUCCUACGGGAGGCAGCAGUGGGGAAUUUUGGACAAUGGGCGCAAGCCUGAUCCAGCCAUGCCGCGUGUCUGAAGAAGGCCUUCGGGUUGUAAAGGACUUUUGUUAGGGAAGAAAAAGGAGCGGUUAAUACCCGUUUCUGCUGACGGUACCUAAAGAAUAAGCACCGGCUAACUACGUGCCAGCAGCCGCGGUAAUACGUAGGGUGCGAGCGUUAAUCGGAAUUACUGGGCGU